This 478-nucleotide long non-coding RNA is filed under the name Coturnix japonica (Japanese quail). RNAcentral's name for it is "lncRNA (ENSCJPG00005007258.1)". The record is from RNAcentral. Lineage: Eukaryota; Metazoa; Chordata; Aves; Galliformes; Phasianidae.
AAUGUAAUUUCCGCUCCCAAACUGUAGACUCAGUGAUCUACGUAGUCUUGAGAGAUGCAGUUCUUAGCUUGAACUACUCAGGAUCUGAGUCUAAACUUCAGUCAGGUUGUACAGUGAUGCACCUUGUAUGAGUCUACAGAUACCUCAUGCACUAGCUGGAGAAGAGAAGGAAAAUUUACCAGAUAAACAGCAAGGUUCCUAGCCAGAUCAUUACUUUAGUGGAUGCAUUUCAUUGGAAAUAUCAAUCCCAUUGUCUGAAAGCAUUUCAAGAACAUCUUUAAUUUUCUGUAAUACUUCAAAUUCUGUGCUGGUUUAGGGCUCAAGUGAGUAUUAUAUGCAACAGAAUUUAUCUUGGUUCAUGUAUAUUAGUGUGUGCCUGUAACCCUGUUUAGGUCAAGCAAAAUGCAAAGACAAGCAUGUUAACAGCAAAGUGACCCUUUAGAAGUCCUAAAAAAUUACUCUUGCAGUCCAUAGUCCA